CCGAGUGUAAGAGAAUAUACAUGCAGUCGAGCGGAGCGGAUGGAGUGCUUGCACUCCUGAUGCUUAGCGGCGGACGGGUGAGUAAUACGUAGGUAACCUGCCCUUAAGACCGGGAUAACUCACGGAAACGUGGGCUAAUACCGGAUAGGCGAUUUCCUCGCAUGAGGGAAUCGGGAAAGGCGGAGCAAUCUGCCACUUAUGGAUGGACCUACGGCGCAUUAGCUAGUUGGUGGGGUAACGGCUCACCAAGGCGACGAUGCGUAGCCGACCUGAGAGGGUGAUCGGCCACACUGGGACUGAGACACGGCCCAGACUGCUACGGGAGGCUUCCGUAGACUCUUCUCAAUGACGCCUUCAGGAGCACCUCUGAGGUAAGUUUUCGUUUCAAACUCUUUCCAGACAACUUGGAGGAUGUUCAUUGACGUACUGGAAGAAAUCCCGGCUAAUGCUGCAGCAGGUGUAACGUAGGGGCAGGCUUGCCGGAAUUUUGCGUAAAGCGCGUGCAGCGGUCAUGUAGUCUGUGUUUAACCCGGGGCUCACCUCGGGUUGCAUCGGAACUGGUGACUGAGUGCGGAGAGGAAAGUGGAAUUCACGUGUAGCGGUGAAUGCGUAGAGAUGUGGAGGACUCCAGUGGCGAAGGCGACUUCUGGGCUGUACUGUUGCUGAGGCGCGAAAGCGUGGGGAGCAACAGGAUUAGAUACCCUGGUAGUCCACGCCGUAAACGAUGAGUGCUAGGUGUUAGGGGUUUCGAUCCCCUUGGUGCCGAAGUUAACACAUUAAGCAUUCCGCCUGGGGAGUACGGUCGCAAGACUGAACCUCAAGGAAUUGACGGGGACCCGCACAAGCGUGGAUAUGUGGUUUAUUUCGAAGCAACGCGAAGAACCUUACCAGUCUUGACAUCCCUCUGACCGUCUAGAGAUGGGCUUCCCUUCGGGGCAGAGUGACAGUGGUGCAUGGUUGCUCAGCUCUGUCGGCGAUGUUGGUUAAGUCCCGAACGAGCUCAACCUUAACUUUAGUUCCACUUGAGUGGACUCUAGGUACUGCCGGUGAAAACCGGAGAAGGUGGGAUGCCGUUAAUCUCAUUCUUUUAUACCUGGUCCCCCCGUUCUACUGGACUGUAACCGGGAUGGUGCGCCUCGAGGUGCAGCGAAUCCUAAAAACGCAGUCUCAUUUCGGAUCGCAGCCUGCAACUCCUCCGCAUGAAGUGGGAAUUACUCGUUAUCGCUGAUCGGCAUCCCGCUUAAAAUACGUUCCCGGGUCUUGUACACACCGCCCGUCACACCACGAGAGUCGCAACACGCGAAGUCGCGGGUUAGCUGCAAGGAGCCAGCCGCCGAAGGUGGGGAAG
This 1348-nucleotide ribosomal RNA is filed under the name Paenibacillus dendritiformis. RNAcentral's name for it is "bacterial SSU rRNA". It matches the Rfam family "Bacterial small subunit ribosomal RNA". Lineage: Bacteria; Bacillati; Bacillota; Bacilli; Caryophanales; Paenibacillaceae. The record is from RNAcentral.